GACGAACGCUGGCGGCGUGCUUAACACAUGCAAGUCGAACGGAAAGGCCCUGCUUGCAGCUUACUCGAGUGGCGAACGGGUGAGUAACACGUAGGUAUUCUGCUCUGCACUUCGGGAUACGUCUGGGAACCUGGGCCUAAUCCCCGUACGUCGCCAUUGUUAGUGUGAUGGUUGUAAGGUUUUUUCGGUGUAGGAUGAGCUGGCGGCCUAUCAGCUUGUUGGUGGGGUAAUGGCCUACCAAGGCGGCGACCGGUAACCGGCCUGAGAGGGUGGUCGGCCACACAGGCACUGAGAUACGGCCGAGACGCCGACGGGAGGCAGCAGUGGGGAAGAUUGCACAAUGGGCGCAGGGCGUGUGCAGCGAGGCCGCGUAGUGGAUAACAGCUUACGGUUGGUGAACUGCUAGUGCGAGAGACGAAGGUUGUUUUGACGUUACCUAGAGAAGAAGCACCGGCUAACUACGUG
Molecule: ribosomal RNA, 465 nt
Filed under: uncultured bacterium
Lineage: Bacteria
Description: partial 16S ribosomal RNA
Rfam family: Bacterial small subunit ribosomal RNA
Source: RNAcentral